GAUGAAGAACGUAGCGAAAUGCGAUAAGUAAUGUGAAUUGCAGAAUUCAGUGAAUCAUCGAAUCUUUGAACGCACAUUGCGCCCCUUGGUAUUCCGAGGGGCAUGCCUGUUCGAGCGUCAUUACACCACUCAAGCACUGCUUGGUAUUGGGCACUCGUCCGUCGAAAGACGGGCGUGCCUCGAAGACCUCGGCGGGGUUUCUCCAACUUCGGGCGUAGUAGAGUUAAAUCAAAACGUCUUAUAAGCUUUGUGAGAUCUCAUUGCCGUUAAACCUUUUUUUUUCAGGUUGACCUCGGAUCAGGUAGGGAUACCCGCUGAACUUAAGCAUAUCAAUAAGCGGAGGA
This 344-nucleotide unclassified non-coding RNA is filed under the name soil metagenome. Its description in RNAcentral is "partial contains 5.8S ribosomal RNA, internal transcribed spacer 2, and large subunit ribosomal RNA". The stretch from base 1 to 120 matches the Rfam family "5.8S ribosomal RNA", at positions 35 to 154 of the family's 154-position model. The record is from RNAcentral.